This 465-nucleotide ribosomal RNA is filed under the name Vreelandella stevensii. Its description in RNAcentral is "partial 16S ribosomal RNA". It matches the Rfam family "Bacterial small subunit ribosomal RNA", at positions 338 to 795 of the family's 1533-position model. Lineage: Bacteria; Pseudomonadati; Pseudomonadota; Gammaproteobacteria; Oceanospirillales; Halomonadaceae. The record is from RNAcentral.
CCUACGGGAGGCUGCAGUGGGGAAUAUUGGACAAUGGGGGGAACCCUGAUCCAGCCAUGCCGCGUGUGUGAAGAAGGCCCUCGGGUUGUAAAGCACUUUCAGUGAGGAAGAACGCCUGGUGGUUAAUACCCAUCAGGAAAGACAUCACUCACAGAAGAAGCACCGGCUAACUCCGUGCCAGUAGCCGCGGUAAUACGGAGGGUGCGAGCGUUAAUCGGAAUUACUGGGCGUAAAGCGCGCGUAGGUGGCUUGAUAAGCCGGUUGUGAAAGCCCCGGGCUCAACCUGGGAACGGCAUCCGGAACUGUCAAGCUAGAGUGCAGGAGAGGAAGGUAGAAUUCCCGGUGUAGCGGUGAAAUGCGUAGAGAUCGGGAGGAAUACCAGUGGCGAAGGCGGCCUUCUGGACUGACACUGACACUGAGGUGCGAAAGCGUGGGUAGCAAACAGGAUUAGAUACCCUGGUAGUC